GACGAACGCUGGCGGCGUGCCUAAUACAUGCAAGUAGAACGCACAGUUUAUACCGUAGCUUGCUACACCAUAGACUGUGAGUUGCGAACGGGUGAGUAACGCGUAGGUAACCUGCCUGGUAGCGGGGGGUAACUAUUGGAAACGAUAGCUAAUACCGCAUAAUAUUGAUUAUUGCAUGAUAAUUGAUUGAAAGAUGCUAUUGCAUCACUACCAGAUGGACCUGCGUUGUAUUAGCUAGUAGGUGAGGUAACGGCUCACCUAGGCGACGAUACAUAGCCGACCUGAGAGGGUGAUCGGCCACACUGGGACUGAGACACGGCCCAGACUCCUACGGGAGGCAGCAGUAGGGAAUCUUCGGCAAUAGACGAAAGUCUGACCGAGCAACGCCGCGUGAGUGAAGAAGGUUUUCGGAUCGUAAAGCUCUGUUGUAAGAGAAGAACGGGUGUGAGAGUGGAAAGUUCACACUGCGACGGUAUCUUACCAGAAAGGGACGGCUAACUACGUG
Molecule: ribosomal RNA, 505 nt
Filed under: uncultured bacterium
Lineage: Bacteria
Description: partial 16S ribosomal RNA
Rfam family: Bacterial small subunit ribosomal RNA
Source: RNAcentral